CCUAAGUACAUUGAUUAAUAUUAUGAAAAGAAAUAACACAAUCACAAAAUAAAAUAAUGGUUGCUAAAGAAGAAUAUUAAAUAUAAAAGUCUUAAUUGAAUUCUAACUAAAUCUUAAUUUAAUAUUAACAAAUCUUAAUAAAAUAAAAAAUAAAUCUCAAUCAAAUUUUAAAAAAAUCCUAAACAAAUCCUAAUAAAAUCCUGGACCAAAUUCUAAUGAAGCCCUAAACCAAUUCCAACCAAGUUCUUAAAAAAAUCCUAAAUUCU
RNAcentral lists this long non-coding RNA (266 nucleotides) under Physcomitrium patens. Its description in RNAcentral is "long non-coding RNA (PPAT_LNC003718)". Lineage: Eukaryota; Viridiplantae; Streptophyta; Bryopsida; Funariales; Funariaceae. The record is from RNAcentral.